CGCCUGAAACUUAAGGAAAGGGGAAAAACAAGAUAAGGUGAAUGGUUUCAAUAAGGACAUUUUUUGUAUAUAAAGCGCUGUGAGUGAUAUGCUGAUCACAGUUCGAAUUCGCUUCGACAAGCAGUCUUCUUCUCUCUUGCAGAGUUAGACGAAAGCACUUGAACCAAAUAUGCAGUGUAACAGACGAGUUUUCUUCUCCAUUGUCUUGGCCAUCGCUCUCCUAGGCAACAUUUGCUUGGCCAAGCCCGGCAUGGGAGGAGGAGGAGGAGGAGGUGGAAUGAUGGGAAUGGGAGGAGGAAAGGGCAACAAACACGGAGGAGGAUCCAGAAUCACAGAGAUGUUGGCGGCAGGAUUGGUCGCCAAGAUGCUGAGCGAGAUGCAUGGUCACAAGUGUCAUCACGGUUGAGCAUUCCUCGUUUCAAACAACUUUUUCAUUUGUACAUAGUCCCUUCUAGAGAUUUUAUAUAGAGUUAUUAUUAUUUGUUUCUCCCAAAUAAAAUAUUUUAUUUGCGUUGUA
Molecule: long non-coding RNA, 517 nt
Organism: Stegodyphus dumicola
Lineage: Eukaryota; Metazoa; Arthropoda; Arachnida; Araneae; Eresidae
Source: RefSeq, a predicted model, not a curated record